This is a long non-coding RNA of Triticum aestivum (bread wheat), 2536 nucleotides long. RefSeq lists it as uncharacterized. Lineage: Eukaryota; Viridiplantae; Streptophyta; Magnoliopsida; Poales; Poaceae. The record is from RefSeq and is a predicted model, not a curated record. The transcript is spliced from 3 exons.
GGUAGGGCUGCGUCUCUCCCUCGCAUCUCUCUCUCGUGUUGCCGCCGCCGCCCCCUCCCCUUCUCUUCGUUGCCUUCCCUCGCGCCGCCGCCCUCCGAGAAGCAACACGGCCACUACUGCUCCGCGUCGGGCCGAGCUUGCCACCGCCGCCGCUCUCCCCGUCGUGCUCGUUCCUCACCACCGGCCCUCGGGUUGUGGAGGGGCAACGGGUAGCGGUGGAAGAGGAGAUCGACCACCAACUGCUGCCGCCCGUCCUCCUGCUUCGCCAUCAACGGGAGGAGGACCGGAGCGUGUCCUCAAGUUCGUGCUCCUCCGGGAAGAGGGCAAACCGAGAGACGAGCACGCGAUGCGUUGCUCUUCUGGUGGGCUUCUGACGAUUUGAAUCUCAGAGCCAGGCAAGUGUGGGAACAAGGAGAUGAGUUUCGUGGAGACGGUGAGCAGGACGGAGACAAGGAUGGCGACUUGAUGCUCCUUGGAGACGUCCUCUGGAGGUGAUUUUUUUCUGGGCCUUUUGUUUACUAUAUAUCAAUUGGAUCCGCAUGCAGCUGCUAUUCGUGUUGUUGUUCAGCUAUGUCAUGUUGUUUAGGUUCAUAUAUACACUACUUAAUUAGGUUCAUGAGAUGGUUCACUGUUGGACUGGGUGCCAUGGGAUCUCAGGUUAUGGAAUUUGGGGUGUUUUGGUUGUCUGAUGCUUUUAGUUUCAACUUAACUUUGCUUUAGAAACGGUCAACUGGACAUAACAACUGUUUGUAUAUUAGUGAAAUAUACGGAGUGGGGAUCUCUUUGUUAUUGUGGCAGCUGUUGGAUUGGGUGUUAUGGCAUCUGGUGAUCGGAUGCAGUUAGUCUUGGCUUGUUUUUGCUUGAUAAGUGACUGAUUUGGGUUUGAUGGAUAGUUUUACUAUUGGCAGUAUAUACGGAAUGUGGAUCUCUGGGUUGUCAUCUCAGGUUCAGAUGUUUUGGAUGUUUGGUUGAUCUGACGCUGUUAGUUUCGGCUUAUCUUUGCUCCAAAAAUUGGCAGUAUAUAACGCCCUCACCCCUGCUUAUCUCGCCUAACUCAUUCCUUCUUUAUUGCACUCGAGGAUCGUUGGUGCGUGCUCCCCCUGUUACACGGCGCUUAGGAGAAGGAGAGGCUUGGUCUCCACCAAAAAAAGACGAGGAAGAAGUGAGAUGCUGCUAGCCCCUUGGCCUGCUGCAUCUCCAAUCGGCGCUUGCAACAGGAGAACCACAUCCCUGGCCUCUCCAUGCCCCCCCCCCUCCCCCCCAAGCGCCAACCUGUAGGCUACAACGACAAGGUGAGGCGGGCCCCUACUCAGAAAAAACAGGUUCAGGAGGUGUUUAUCCUAUAUAUGAUUCAGUAACUUGCACUCUAAUCUCAUUUGUCUUCUUCUCAUUGGGCAUGGUGUCUUUAGGUUAUCAAAGGGAAUUGAAUAUGGCUGUUGACAAUUCAGAUUGUGGGCAGCUAAGAGUUUAGAAUUACUCAUGUAAAUUUUUGCUUAUAAAUAAUAUAAUGACGCAGUAGUAGCCCCUCCUAUCUUUUGUCAACAAUGGUGUGAUACUAAGAUUUUCACUGCAGUAGCAUCCGUAUCCAAUGUAACUCGGCUAUAGGUUAUCCAAAGUAAUGAUGUCUAUUACUCUGGUUGAUUUGCAAUAUGGUGUUGUGGACCCAUGUGCACCUGAGCUUUGCUACUUUCUCUAAUUACCAUGAAAUUUGUACACAUGAGCAUUCCUAUGCCAUUGUCAAGUGCUACUCCAAACACCAUUUACUGCUUUAAAAUAUCUCUCAACUUGGAUAGAGCAUCCUGAAAGGUCAAGAUUUGCUCAACAUGAUUUUUUUUACUAUGAGGAGCCUUACUUCUAGCACUGGGUUUUGAUUGUCUGUUGUUUUGUACAUCUUUUAUCUAUAUGAUUUUAAUCUUAAGAAAGAGCAUAUUCUGGACUCACAACAAAUUGGAUAGAGCAUCCUGCAAGGUCUCUGAUGUGCAGAUGAUAUUUCAGUGCUCGAUGUGCAGCUUAUUUUGUCGACAUCGCGGUUACAGUUUGCAAUAUUAGACCUACUUGUAUCAAGGGGAAAAUUCUAAUUUCUUUACAGCGGUGUUUGAACAAAAUGGCAUAUUCCGUGGGCUGGAUAAGCUCAGUGAUAUCAGUCCCCUUUUAAAUUGAACAAAAUGGCAUAUUGCUGGGGUGUGGAUGGGAUAUUUCGUUGGUCAUAUAUAAGUUGGUCAUAGUCCCCUUUCCAAAUCUGCAGAAAAUGGCAUAUUCCGUUGGUCAUAGUCCUCUUUUGCAGAAAAUUCUAAUUUCUUUACCACGGUGUUUGAACAAUAGUUAAGCUCAGUGAUGACUUACCAUAUAAUUAGGUUGUGUCCCUUAGCAGAUGUCACACAUGUCCCUUUUGUUGUAUCCAUGAGUGCAAUCUUUGCAGCUAAAGCCUUCAUGAUGGUUCCCGCAUGUUCCAUGCAAAUGUUUGGCAAUGAGUACUCUUGAUAUUUGUAAAUAUAAUAUGGAGUUGAGCAUGAAAGGAUGCAUUAGAUCACUAUAA